RNAcentral lists this long non-coding RNA (1781 nucleotides) under Phaseolus vulgaris (common bean). RNAcentral describes it as "long non-coding RNA (PVUL_LNC001305)". The record is from RNAcentral. Lineage: Eukaryota; Viridiplantae; Streptophyta; Magnoliopsida; Fabales; Fabaceae.
UUCUACAGGCAGAUGAGCGUGCAGUCUUGAAGCAUUUUAAUUGGCCUGAGAGGAAAGCUGAUGCCAUGCGUGAAGCUGCAGUUGAGUAUCGUGACCUUAAAUUGUUAGAACAAGAGAUUUUCUCUUUCAAGGAUGAUCCUGAAAUUCCAUGUGGAGCUUCCUUGAGAAAGAUGGCCACACUAUUAGACAAGUAAGAAAGUAAAUCUAUAUCACAUAUUUAAGUACUAAUUUUAAAGAGUUUAAUGGUUAUGCACAGCACAGAUAAUGUAAACAGUUUUACAUCGUGAACUAAUAAAAUAUCACUGGUCAUACAACUUUUGAAGUAGAUAACAUAAAAGUUAACAAACAUACCAUAUAUGAUAAUUUGUACUGAGAUGAUGGUGUAAAAUUUAUACUAUGAGUGCAUAGUCUAUUUCCUCGGUUUUAAAUAUGCCAGGUUUCAUUGUGAUAGGUCUGAGUGCAGCAUACAGAGACUAAUCAAGUUGAGAAAUUCUGUAAUGCGUUCAUAUCAAGAUUACAAAAUUCCAACUGCUUGGAUGCUUGACUCAGGAAUCACGGCAAAGGUAUCAUUUGUAUGAUUUCUUUGUGAAUGUGAUGACAACAAUAACGACACUUAGUAAACCUUGUCUUUCUAAUAAGAACUGGAAGUUAAGGUUUAAUGACAUUGGCAAUUCUUGAAAUUAGUUUGCAUGAAUAGAUAUAAUACUUAACCAUGAAUUGAGUUGUGUUGUGUGAGCCAUAGGACUCUCCGCCAUGUGUUGCUUUACUUUCAGUGUUUCUUUAACUCAAUGAAAAUGAAAUGAAACAACACAACUAACUGAAUGAAGAACAUGCUUCAGUUUAGGAUUUAUUAAUCCAAGUCUCUUGUAAUUAAUUGGUUACUGAAUACUACUAACAUACAUUUUGUAUCUUAAUUUUUCAAUGUAAAACUUGAUUGGAUGAAUAAUAAAUAUGCCAUUUAUGCAGAUUAAGCAGGCUUCUAUGACUCUGGUCAAGAUGUACAUGAAAAGAGUGACAAUGGAGCUUGGAUCUGCUAAGAAUUCAGACAGACAGUCUAGUCAAGAAUCCCUUCUGCUUCAGGGCAUGCAUUUUGCAUAUAGAGCUCAUCAGGUAUUUCUCAAUGUCUGCAAAUCUCUGCACACCAUAUAUGAUUAUAGAAACAUCAUAUAUAGUUACUAGGAAUAUCUACUAUAGCAAUUGUUCCAUCACAAGACCUAAGAAAAGCAAGUAUACUAUAGUUGCCAAGCAUAUAACCCAAUAAGGUGAUGUAAUUAGCUUAAACAAUUAAGUGGAUCAUCCUAACCCAUUCUAAUUUCCAUAUGAAAGGACCAUCAACCCUUUCUUUUAUAAAAAAGCAAAAAACUUAUUUGCAGCCACAAUAGGAAAUAUUACCAUUUUCAUCAUUUAUGAGGCUGAUUCACUUAUUUUGGUAUGUUUUUCUAGUUUGCUGGAGGUUUGGAUGCAGAAACUCUUUGUGCUUUUGAAGAGAUAAGGCAACAUGUACCAGGACACUUAGCAGGGUCUCGAGAACUUUUGGCUGGCAUAGCAUCAUCGUGAGAGGCCAUUGUAUUUUAUGCUUUCUUUUCCUUAUCCCCAAUGUUCAACACUAUUGACGACCAUUCAGAAGAAAUAAGAAUAUACAUGCAGAGAUUUUGAAGAAAGAACUUUCCAUAGGGUGCUUGAGCAAGUUUAGUAGCUAAGUUUGUAACAAUUGGACUGUUACAAACUAGCUGGUUCCUCGUCUUGUUCUAUGGAUAAAAUCUUCACAGUCAUUGAGCUUA